This 252-nucleotide ribosomal RNA is filed under the name uncultured bacterium. RNAcentral describes it as "partial 16S ribosomal RNA". It matches the Rfam family "Bacterial small subunit ribosomal RNA", at positions 524 to 776 of the family's 1533-position model. The record is from RNAcentral.
UACGGAGGAUGCGAGCGUUAUCCGGAUUUAUUGGGUUUAAAGGGUGCGUAGGCGGGAUGCCAAGUCAGCGGUAAAAACGCGGUGCUCAACGCCGUCGAGCCGUUGAAACUGGCGUUCUUGAGUGGGCGAGAAGUAUGCGGAAUGCGUGGCGUAGCGGUGAAAUGCAUAGAUAACACGCAGAACUCCGAUUGCGAAGGCAGCAUACCGGCGCCCUACUGACGCUGAGGCACGAAAGCGUGGGUAUCGAACAGG